CGCUGGCGGCGUGCUUAACACAUGCAAGUUGAACGGUCCGGCAUGGAAGCUUGCUGAAGUGUCGGGUAGUUAGCGGACGGGUGAGUAAUGCAUGAGAAGCUGCCAUUGGGAGGGGGACAACAGUUUGGAAACGGCUGCUAAUACCCCAUAUGCCGGAAGGUGAAACGGAGUGAUCCGCCCGAUGAGGUGCUCAUGUCCUAUCAGCUUGUUGGUGAGGUAACGGCUCACCAAGGCGACGACGGGUAGCCGGCCUGAGAGGGUGACCGGCCACACUGGAACUGAGAUACGGUCCAGACUCCUACGGGAGGCAGCAGUGGGGAAUAUUUCGGGGCAAUGGGGGCAACCCUGACCCAGCGACGCCGCGUUGAGGGAAGACGGCCUUCGGGUUGUAAACCUCUUUUGUACGGGAAGAAGGACGUGACGGUACCGUGCGAAUAAGUCCCGGCUAACUACGUGCCAGCCGCCGC
Molecule: ribosomal RNA, 467 nt
Filed under: uncultured bacterium
Lineage: Bacteria
Description: bacterial SSU rRNA
Rfam family: Bacterial small subunit ribosomal RNA
Source: RNAcentral